Molecule: transfer RNA, 71 nt
Filed under: Parageobacillus toebii
Lineage: Bacteria; Bacillati; Bacillota; Bacilli; Caryophanales; Anoxybacillaceae
Description: tRNA-Pro
Rfam family: tRNA
About the family: Transfer RNA (tRNA) molecules are approximately 80 nucleotides in length. Their secondary structure includes four short double-helical elements and three loops (D, anti-codon, and T loops). Further hydrogen bonds mediate the characteristic L-shaped molecular structure. tRNAs have two regions of fundamental functional importance: the anti-codon, which is responsible for specific mRNA codon recognition, and the 3' end, to which the tRNAs corresponding amino acid is attached (by aminoacyl-tRNA synthetases). tRNAs cope with the degeneracy of the genetic code in two manners: having more than one tRNA (with a specific anti-codon) for a particular amino acid; and 'wobble' base-pairing, i.e. permitting non-standard base-pairing at the 3rd anti-codon position.
Source: RNAcentral
CGGGAAGUAGCUCAGCUUGGUAGAGCACAUGGUUUGGGACCAUGGGGUCGCAGGUUCGAAUCCUGUCUUCC